RNAcentral lists this unclassified non-coding RNA (259 nucleotides) under Hevea brasiliensis (rubber tree). The record is from RNAcentral. Lineage: Eukaryota; Viridiplantae; Streptophyta; Magnoliopsida; Malpighiales; Euphorbiaceae.
UUUCGCGAUUUGCGAGAAGCACGAUCUAAGCAGCGAGACGACCAAGCCGCGCGACCGAAGCGCAGGCCGUUCGAUCAAGAACCACGACGGGAGCGCCACGCUUACGGCGAGGAUAAGGGAGGCCGUGACGAGCGCGAGGGGCCCGUGGCCACGUCAAGAUGAGAGUCUGCGUAAUGGGCCAGCCGAAGAUAUAUAUUCCAUACGACAGAUCGAUCUGGUUGGUCAGCUCGCGCAGCCUUCCCGUUGACACUUUUGCCAG